GGCGGUCAUAGCGGCGGGGAUACACCUCUUCCCAUUCCGAACAGAGAAGUUAAGCCCGCCAGCGCCGAUGGUACUCGGGGCGCGAGCCCCCGGGAGAGUAGGACGCCGC
This 109-nucleotide ribosomal RNA is filed under the name Gaiellaceae bacterium. Lineage: Bacteria; Bacillati; Actinomycetota; Thermoleophilia; Gaiellales; Gaiellaceae. The record is from RNAcentral.